This 467-nucleotide ribosomal RNA is filed under the name uncultured bacterium. RNAcentral's name for it is "partial 16S ribosomal RNA". It matches the Rfam family "Bacterial small subunit ribosomal RNA", at positions 28 to 506 of the family's 1533-position model. The record is from RNAcentral.
GACGAACGCUGGCGGCGUGCUUAACACAUGCAAGUCGAACGGAAAGGCCCUGCUUUUGUGGGGUGCUCGAGUGGCGAACGGGUGAGUAACACGUGAGUAACCUGCCCUUGACUUUGGGAUAACUUCAGGAAACAGGGGCUAAUACCGGAAAGGAGCUCCUGCUGCAUGGUGGGGGUUGGAAAGUUUCGGCGGUUGGGGAUGGACUCGCGGCUUAUCAGCUUGUUGGUGGGGUAGUGGCUUACCAAGGCUUUGACGGGUAGCCGGCCUGGGAGGGUGACCGGCCACAUUGGGACUGAGAUACGACCCAGACUCCUACGGGAGGCAGCAGUGGGGAAUAUUGCACAAUGGGCGGAAGCCUGAUGCAGGAACGCCGCGUGCGGGAUGACGGCCUUCGGGUUGUAAACCGCUUUCGCCUGUGACGAAGCGUGAGUGACGGUAAUGGGUAAAGAAGCACCGGCUAACUACGG